AUUGAACGCUGGCGGCAUGCUUUACACAUGCAAGUCGAACGGUAACAGGCCUUCGGGUGCUGACGAGUGGCGAACGGGUGAGUAAUGCAUCGGAACGUACCCAGAGGUGGGGGAUAACGCAGCGAAAGCUGUGCUAAUACCGCAUGUGAUCUGAGGAUGAAAGCGGGGGACCGAGCAGCAAUGUUUGGCCUCGCGCCUUUGGAGCGGCCGAUGUCGGAUUAGCUAGUUGGUGGGGUAAAGGCCUACCAAGGCGACGAUCCGUAGCUGGUCUGAGAGGACGACCAGCCACACUGGGACUGAGACACGGCCCAGACUCCUACGGGAGGCAGCAGUGGGGAAUUUUGGACAAUGGGCGCAAGCCUGAUCCAGCAAUGCCGCGUGCGGGAAGAAGGCCUUCGGGUUGUAAACCGCUUUUGGCAGGAACGAAACGGUGUCCGCUAAUACCGGACGCUAGUGACGGUACCUGCAGAAUAAGCACCGGCUAACUACGUG
This 492-nucleotide ribosomal RNA is filed under the name uncultured bacterium. RNAcentral describes it as "partial 16S ribosomal RNA". It matches the Rfam family "Bacterial small subunit ribosomal RNA", at positions 29 to 507 of the family's 1533-position model. The record is from RNAcentral.